Molecule: ribosomal RNA, 272 nt
Filed under: Escherichia coli
Lineage: Bacteria; Pseudomonadati; Pseudomonadota; Gammaproteobacteria; Enterobacterales; Enterobacteriaceae
Description: partial 16S ribosomal RNA
Rfam family: Bacterial small subunit ribosomal RNA
Source: RNAcentral
AAAUUGAAGAGUUUGAUCAUGGCUCAGAUUGAACGCUGGCGGCAGGCCUAACACAUGCAAGUCGAACGGUAACAGGAAGCAGCUUGCUGCUUUGCUGACAAGUGGCGGACGGGUGAGUAAUGUCUGGGAAACUGCCUGAUGGAGGGGGAUAACUACUGGAAACGGUAGCUAAUACCGCAUAACGUCGCAAGACCAAAGAGGGGGACCUUCGGGCCUCUUGCCAUUGGAUGUGCCCAGAUGGGAUUAGCUAGUAGGUGGGGUAACAGCUCACC